Molecule: ribosomal RNA, 320 nt
Filed under: uncultured bacterium
Lineage: Bacteria
Description: bacterial SSU rRNA
Rfam family: Bacterial small subunit ribosomal RNA
Source: RNAcentral
UGACGGUAUCUAACCAGCAAGUCACGGCUAACUACGUGCCAGCAGCCGCGGUAAUACGUAGGUGGCAAGCGUUAUCCGGAUUUAUUGGGCGUAAAGGGAACGCAGGCGGUUUUUUAAGUCUGAUGUGAAAGCCUUCGGCUUAACCGGAGAAUAGCAUUGGAAACUGGAAGACUUGAGUGCAGAAGAGGAGAGUGGAACUCCAUGUGUAGCGGUGAAGUGCGUAGAUAUAUGGAAGAACACCAGUGGCGAAAGCGGCUCUCUGGUCUGUAACUGACGCUGAGGUUCGAAAGCGUGGGUAGCAAACAGGAUUAGAUACCCUG